RNAcentral lists this long non-coding RNA (1007 nucleotides) under Callithrix jacchus (white-tufted-ear marmoset). RNAcentral's name for it is "lncRNA (ENSCJAG00000074432.1)". Lineage: Eukaryota; Metazoa; Chordata; Mammalia; Primates; Cebidae. The record is from RNAcentral.
UCCAGCACUGAUCCUUUGCACAACUCCAGAGGGCACCAUUCACUCUGAGCUGAAACAUGCCAGGAGCAGUAUAAAUGCUUUGCAUGUGGUCUCUUCUGGAACCCUCAUGAGAGCUCUUUGAGGGAGCUGCUGUUUUUAUUACCAUUUUAAAGAUGAGAAAAUCAAGGGGUAAGAGUCAGCUCCCAAACCGAGGGUCUUUAAUAGCUCAGUGUAGAUGAGACUCAAAGCAGCUGUGUCCAGGACAUUAAAUUAGUUAAAGAGCAGUGCCAAGACUAGAGCCAACACCUCCAUUCUUGUCAUGCUGCCUUUUCGCACGAACAAGCUUCCUCAGAUAAAGAAGAGAAAAUUUAGAACCUUGCUUCACAAGAGCAAGCAGAGAAAGAAAGAAAAUUAGUCCUGACUGGAACAUUUCCGCUCAACUUUCAAUAUGACUUCGAGGCACGUAGAAAUGCCUACCCAGGUGUCCUUCUGGGCUUUCUGCUGGAGCUUUUCAACAAGGAAAGGUCAGGCAAGAAGUGCUGGGCUUAUUUGCAUCCCCUCAGUGUCGAGACUGAAAUAAAAACUCUUUGUCCAAGGAAAGAGCCUAGCUCUUCUCUCAAUGGUUGUCUGAGGCAGAGAGACCUGUAGCUUUUAAGAAGCCCUGUGUUGUCUUUCUGAAGUGAGGUUUGUUUUCUAUGUCCCCACCAGGUAUUAGUUCACUUAGGAAAUAAAGUGUUAAAAGCAAUUGCUUGACCAGUUCCAGCUCACCCAGGAGUUGCCAAAUCCAUGCUGCUUGCGCAGUUUACAAAAUAUUUUCUUUGUAGUUGUCCUUGAAGCCCAAGAGGAGCUAAUGGCUAUAACUACCAGCCUACAUGUUUCAAAGUGAUUUCCACACCAGGAAGCCAUUGUCGGCUUCCCCAAACACUUAAUUGGUAGAGGAUGUGAGCAAUUCUGAAAGGCCUCGCUUCUUGUUCUAGCCUCAAUUCGUCGCUCAGAUAAGAGCUGGUUUUCAGCAACGAUUUUCAUUU